GCCAACUUUCCACAGAAUUGCUAUUCAAUAGCUUUCGCCUUUUCAUCUUGGCACUCGCACUUUUUGUGGAACCAUUGGCUUUCUUGUUGUUUCUCUGUCCCUGCAAAACUUACUCAUUUGUUGAUGUCUCGAAGAAGUAAGAAAUUAUGUAUCUUAUCCUGUCAUGGUUAUGUUGUUCUGAGUUAUCCUUUAAACUGUGAGGCAUCAGCUGCUGCAUGACAUCUUGUCCUCGGUUGGUAAUGAGAUAAAUAAAUUGUUAACAGAUAUUAAUUGUUCUUGGAAUGGGGGGAGUUGACAAGAUUACAGUAUUGAAAUUUAUGAGACAAUUCAGAAUUUAUCGCCUUAUAUCCGUUUGGAAGCAUAUGAUCGAAUCCCCCGUAUCCUAAAAUGGAAAACAAUUGUAUAACCUUCAUGGGAUGACAUGUCGAUACUUUGGGACGCUUCUCCGGUAUGUUGCUCAUUUAUAUUUUCUUAUUCCGUUUUGUAUUUCAAUAAUCGUUAUAAAUUUCAUUCAUGUUGUAGGAGGAGAUUACAACUACAUUGCAUCCGACCGAGCGGAAGUGUUAUUCUGAGUGGUAUAUUCGAGCUUUAGAGUUUAUGGGAGAACGUGUACCAUCUAUGCAUUCAGAUGAUGAUGAUGCCACCCAGUCAAACCGUCCUGUUGCCUUUCAGACAGCCCCCAGAGGGUCUUCUAUGUCUUCAACUGCUUCCGUACGAAUGUCGUCAUCAUGAGGUGCCAGACCCGUGGUUCCUAGAACUUCUCCAAUUGGACGUACAUCCCCUCCACAGGUGUCAUUCUCUCUCGGGUCACGUCGGGUCACACCUAAUGUGUCUCCCAUUCUCGUGAGCAUCCGGUAAACUAGCCUACAAGACACUCGGUCCAUGGGACAUCAUACAGUGGUGUUUCUUAUGACCGUCUUCAACAAAUAUUAAUGGAACAUGGAAGAGGCAUAAGCUCUCAGAUGCAACAACAAUUGGACCAACACGGUGCAAUGAUACACGAGGAGUGGGAGCGACAGUCGUCAGCGUUUCGCGAGGAUAUGCAGUCAUAUUGGCAACAACAACAGUCGACGUUUCGGGGGGAGAUGCAGGACCAAUGGCAACAACAACAAUCGACGUUUCGGGGGGAGUUGCAAGACUUAUGGCAAUAACAAACAUCGAUGUUUCGGGGGGAGUUACAAGAGUAAUGGCAACAACAAAUAUUGAUGUUUCGAGGGGAGCUACAGGACCUAUGGCAACAACAAGCAUCGAUGUUUCGGGGGGAGAUGUAGGACCAAUGGAAACAACAAACAUCGAUGCUUCAUGAGGAGAUGCAGGACCAAUGGAAACAACAAACACAUGGGCUUCAAGGGGAGAUGCAGGAAAAAAUGGAAUCAUUAAAUUAUCGAAUUACAGGACUUGAGGGUUCUUAUGUUCAGGCAUCCGAAUCAGUACAGUUAGACGAACCAUCAGACGAAGAAGUCCAACAACAAGUUCAGGACCAACCAAUAGCUACUCAGAAGCUGACAACAAUUAAAAAAGUAUCAGCUUUCGGACGUGUACUGCGAAAAGGGAAACAGUUGGUCAGUCCAUUCACAAAUCUAGAAAAGGAGAAAAAGAACAAACAGCCAGUAACUGCGUCUCGUGAUACAUACUCGACAUUGGCUAGGUCCUAAUCAGAGUUCACAGUAUGGUAUAGUCAAGCGUCUGAUAAUGAUAGUCGACGCGUCUUCCUCGGGGGACUAGUCGGAACGACCGCCCAUAUGCCCAAACCAUAGUGGACCCAGAUUGUAACACUAGGAUAAUGGUUGAAAAACACGGUAUGUACCCUUCCUUUGUAUUUGUUCCUAUUAGUAAUCAUGUUUAACUUAUGAUGUGAUUAAUCUGUGAACACAGCAUAUUGAAGCUUUUAUAGGUAUACUCCGUAAAUCUUACCUAGAUGAAAACUGGACAACUGUUUCCACCCAAUUUGUUGGACUUCUCCCACAGUGUUACAAUGAGUUUAAAAAAUUGGGUGCAAAUAUAGAGUGGCCUACGUUUUUUCUAGAUCAAAUCAAUGGAAUCUCGCUUCGGACAAAAGAAUUCUU
Mangifera indica (mango) is the source of this 2066-nucleotide RNA transcript. RefSeq lists it as uncharacterized. The record is from RefSeq and is a predicted model, not a curated record. NCBI's taxonomy places the organism in Eukaryota, Viridiplantae, Streptophyta, Magnoliopsida, Sapindales, Anacardiaceae. The transcript has 5 exons.